RNAcentral lists this ribosomal RNA (497 nucleotides) under uncultured bacterium. RNAcentral's name for it is "partial 16S ribosomal RNA". It matches the Rfam family "Bacterial small subunit ribosomal RNA", at positions 28 to 507 of the family's 1533-position model. The record is from RNAcentral.
GAUGAACGCUGGCGGCGUGCCUAAUACAUGCAAGUCGAGCGAACGGACGAGAAGCUUGCUUUUCUGAUGUUAGCGGCGGACGGGUGAGUAACACGUGGAUAACCUACCUAUAAGACUGGGAUAACUUCGGGAAACCGGAGCUAAUACCGGAUAAUAUUUUGAACCGCAUGGUUCAAAAGUGAAAGACGGUCUUGCUGUCACUUAUAGAUGGAUCCGCGCUGCAUUAGCUAGUUGGUAAGGUAACGGCUUACCAAGGCAACGAUGCAUAGCCGACCUGAGAGGGUGAUCGGCCACACUAGAACUGAGACACGGUCCAGACUCCUACGGGAGGCAGCAGUAGGGAAUCUUCCGCAAAGGGCGAAAGCCUGACGGAGCAACGCCGCGUGAGUGAUGAAGGUCUUCGGAUCGUAAAACUCUGUUAUUAGGGAAGAACAUAUGUGUAAGUAACUGUGCACAUCUUGACGGUACCUAAUCAGAAAGCCACGGCUAACUACGUG